This 2259-nucleotide ribosomal RNA is filed under the name Salmonella enterica. RNAcentral describes it as "partial 23S ribosomal RNA". It matches the Rfam family "Bacterial large subunit ribosomal RNA", at positions 691 to 2925 of the family's 2925-position model. The record is from RNAcentral. Lineage: Bacteria; Pseudomonadati; Pseudomonadota; Gammaproteobacteria; Enterobacterales; Enterobacteriaceae.
GGCGUUAAGUUGCAGGGUAUAGACCCGAAACCCGGUGAUCUAGCCAUGGGCAGGUUGAAGGUUGGGUAACACUAACUGGAGGACCGAACCGACUAAUGUUGAAAAAUUAGCGGAUGACCUGUGGCUGGGGGUGAAAGGCCAAUCAAACCGGGAGAUAGCUGGUUCUCCCCGAAAGCUAUUUAGGUAGCGCCUCGUGAAUUCAUCUCCGGGGGUAGAGCACUGUUUCGGCUAGGGGGCCAUCCCGGCUUACCAACCCGAUGCAAACUGCGAAUACCGGAGAAUGUUAUCACGGGAGACACACGGCGGGUGCUAACGUCCGUCGUGAAGAGGGAAACAACCCAGACCGCCAGCUAAGGUCCCAAAGUCAUGGUUAAGUGGGAAACGAUGUGGGAAGGCCCAGACAGCCAGGAUGUUGGCUUAGAAGCAGCCAUCAUUUAAAGAAAGCGUAAUAGCUCACUGGUCGAGUCGGCCUGCGCGGAAGAUGUAACGGGGCUAAACCAUGCACCGAAGCUGCGGCAGCGACGCUUAUGCGUUGUUGGGUAGGGGAGCGUUCUGUAAGCCUGUGAAGGUGUGUCGUGAGGCAUGCUGGAGGUAUCAGAAGUGCGAAUGCUGACAUAAGUAACGAUAAAGCGGGUGAAAAGCCCGCUCGCCGGAAGACCAAGGGUUCCUGUCCAACGUUAAUCGGGGCAGGGUGAGUCGACCCCUAAGGCGAGGCCGAAAGGCGUAGUCGAUGGGAAACGGGUUAAUAUUCCCGUACUUGGUGUUACUGCGAAGGGGGGACGGAGAAGGCUAUGUUGGCCGGGCGACGGUUGUCCCGGUUUAAGCGUGUAGGUGUGUGUUCCAGGUAAAUCCGGUUCACUUUAACACUGAGGCGUGAUGACGAGGCACUACGGUGCUGAAGUAACAAAUGCCCUGCUUCCAGGAAAAGCCUCUAAGCAUCAGGUAACAUCAAAUCGUACCCCAAACCGACACAGGUGGUCAGGUAGAGAAUACCAAGGCGCUUGAGAGAACUCGGGUGAAGGAACUAGGCAAAAUGGUGCCGUAACUUCGGGAGAAGGCACGCUGACACGUAGGUGAAGUGAUUUACUCACGGAGCUGAAGUCAGUCGAAGAUACCAGCUGGCUGCAACUGUUUAUUAAAAACACAGCACUGUGCAAACACGAAAGUGGACGUAUACGGUGUGACGCCUGCCCGGUGCCGGAAGGUUAAUUGAUGGGGUCAGCGCAAGCGAAGCUCCUGAUCGAAGCCCCGGUAAACGGCGGCCGUAACUAUAACGGUCCUAAGGUAGCGAAAUUCCUUGUCGGGUAAGUUCCGACCUGCACGAAUGGCGUAAUGAUGGCCAGGCUGUCUCCACCCGAGACUCAGUGAAAUUGAACUCGCUGUGAAGAUGCAGUGUACCCGCGGCAAGACGGAAAGACCCCGUGAACCUUUACUAUAGCUUGACACUGAACAUUGAGCCUUGAUGUGUAGGAUAGGUGGGAGGCUUUGAAGUGUGGACGCCAGUCUGCAUGGAGCCGACCUUGAAAUACCACCCUUUAAUGUUUGAUGUUCUAACGUGGACCCGUUACCCGGGUUGCGGACAGUGUCUGGUGGGUAGUUUGACUGGGGCGGUCUCCUCCUAAAGAGUAACGGAGGAGCACGAAGGUUGGCUAAUCCUGGUCGGACAUCAGGAGGUUAGUGCAAUGGCAUAAGCCAGCUUGACUGCGAGCGUGACGGCGCGAGCAGGUGCGAAAGCAGGUCAUAGUGAUCCGGUGGUUCUGAAUGGAAGGGCCAUCGCUCAACGGAUAAAAGGUACUCCGGGGAUAACAGGCUGAUACCGCCCAAGAGUUCAUAUCGACGGCGGUGUUUGGCACCUCGAUGUCGGCUCAUCACAUCCUGGGGCUGAAGUAGGUCCCAAGGGUAUGGCUGUUCGCCAUUUAAAGUGGUACGCGAGCUGGGUUUAGAACGUCGUGAGACAGUUCGGUCCCUAUCUGCCGUGGGCGCUGGAGAACUGAGGGGGGCUGCUCCUAGUACGAGAGGACCGGAGUGGACGCAUCACUGGUGUUCGGGUUGUCAUGCCAAUGGCACUGCCCGGUAGCUAAAUGCGGAAGAGAUAAGUGCUGAAAGCAUCUAAGCACGAAACUUGCCCCGAGAUGAGUUCUCCCUGAGACUUUAGGUCUCCUGAAGGAACGUUGAAGACGACGACGUUGAUAGGCCGGGUGUGUAAGCGCAGCGAUGCGUUGAGCUAACCGGUACUAAUGAACCGUGAGGCUUAACCUU